UUGGAUGUGGAGAUUGGACAACUUCAAGAACAACGUGAUCAGCUAAUGCAGCAUCGGAAAAGGAAGAUGCACAUUAUACGGAAGAUCGACAAGGAAAAAG
This is a long non-coding RNA of Ornithodoros turicata, 100 nucleotides long. RefSeq lists it as uncharacterized. The record is from RefSeq and is a predicted model, not a curated record. The transcript has 3 exons. Lineage: Eukaryota; Metazoa; Arthropoda; Arachnida; Ixodida; Argasidae.